GAGAUUCCAGCCCUCGCCAGCACAAGCUUCUGGGACUCCAUGGCACCUCCAUCAUUGAGUCUGACAGCUUCAACACAUCUACACCUUCCUGUUUGCUGUGCGUGCUACUGACAACGGAAGCCCAGGACGAAGCACAGACGGAUCAGUGACCAUCCAGAUCACCAGGGCUGUACUGCCUCGGUUCUUGAACACGCCGUACUCCACCUCCGUACAGGAGAACAGUGUCAAUGGAACUUGCAUCUUUACUGUUUCUGCUACUGAUGCUGAUGGACAGUUGAGACUGAUCGCCUAUGACAGUCAGACUCCGGGCCAGCGAGCAACAGCAGACGUCACAAUUGGUGUACAGCAUAACGUUAACUCGCCCAUCUUCAAGCCAGACAACUACAUUGAGGUUAUCCCAGAGGAAACUGCAGUUGGCGCCUCAAUCCUUCGAGUUACUGCCACAGAUGCUGACAAAAAUCAGCUGACAUGCUCCCUGACAAGUGAGACCAGAAGUUUCGGGCAGACGACAUACUUUGAUGUUGAGGUUUGGGCAUGUAUUGUGUUCAUUAAC
Mya arenaria is the source of this 553-nucleotide long non-coding RNA. RefSeq lists it as uncharacterized. NCBI's taxonomy places the organism in Eukaryota, Metazoa, Mollusca, Bivalvia, Myida, Myidae. The transcript has 4 exons. The record is from RefSeq and is a predicted model, not a curated record.